GAUGAGAUUUCCCAUUUCUUCGGAAAGUAAGAUCCCUGAAAGAUGAUCAGGUAGAUAGGUUUGGAGUGGAAGUGUAGCGAUACAUGGAGCGGACAAAUACUAAUCGAUCGAGGACUUAACCAA
Molecule: ribosomal RNA, 123 nt
Filed under: Listeria ivanovii
Lineage: Bacteria; Bacillati; Bacillota; Bacilli; Caryophanales; Listeriaceae
Also listed under: 1 other name
Description: partial 23S ribosomal RNA
Rfam family: Bacterial large subunit ribosomal RNA
Source: RNAcentral